This 1064-nucleotide long non-coding RNA is filed under the name Sinocyclocheilus grahami. RNAcentral's name for it is "lncRNA (ENSSGRG00000038724.1)". The record is from RNAcentral. Lineage: Eukaryota; Metazoa; Chordata; Actinopteri; Cypriniformes; Cyprinidae.
GAUGAGAGUAUGCAUAUUUAUGACUCCCUGAGAAAGAGUGAAGAUGUGAACAUAUCAGACAAGUUUGGGAUAUGUGUAGAUGUGGGUCUUGAUACAGUGCCAAAGGUUAAAAGAUAUGUUGAAUUUAAACAGUUUAAACCUCAUUCUGGACCUCCAACUCUGCCAUCAUUUUCUACUUCCUCAACAAAGAAGAACAACACCUUAUCAGAUAUGGAGGUAAAAUCUGAAGCUAACAUUGACACAUUCUCUGGAGACAACAGAUGCUUAACACAAAUAGAGGUAUCUCCUGAUAGAAUUCAAAAAGUGAAGAGAUACAUUCACUUCAAACAGCCUGAACCUCAUUCCCCAACUCUGCCAUCAUCACCCUCCUUCACCAAAAAAGAUAAGCUAGAAGCAAAAAGUUAUAGCUCAUCUUCAGAUGAUGAUGCUCAGAGGACAACUAAACGUGACAAUUUAGAUGUAUCUUCUUAUGGAGUUUCAAAAGUAAAACGAUACAUUUCAUUUAAACAGCUUGAAUCUUCCUCCCCAACUCUGUCAGUAUCCACACCUUCAACUAAAAUUGAGACCACAACUGAGGAAGCAAUCAAAUCUUUGCAGUCAAGCACCACACCUAAAGAUUCAAGUCAAAAUGUGAAGAAAUAUGUGUAUUUUAAGCAGUAUAAACACCAUUCCUCAUCUCUGCCAUCAUCACCUACCUCUACCAGGAAAGGUUUAUCAGGAAAAAAGACUAAACGCAAAAAACAACAUGAUCAAGCAUAUUAUGGAAGUCAUGAUAGCCUGCCACUAUACCAUGUCCAUCCUGUCUAUAGGUCAAGUAUAAACAGACUGAAUAGAGGCUAUGAUACUGAUAGAUCAUCUUCCAGUGAAGAAGAAGAUACAUUUUUGGAGUAUCCAUCAAAAUUAGAGAUUACAAUAGCACCUGGGAUAAACAGAGGAUCCAUCCCACCAGAUAAAAACACAGACAAAGUUCUCAACAUUGACUUUGAUAACUCCUCCAGCAGCACAGAUGUAUUUGACAAGAAACAUUCUAAAGGUCUAAUGAGAUUAAGAGCAUUAAGUGCACG